UACGUAGGGUGCGAGCGUUAAUCGGAAUUACUGGGCGUAAAGCGUGCGCAGGCGGGUUUGUAAGCCAGAUGGGAAAUCCCCGGGCUUAACCUGGGAAUGGCAUUUGGGACUGCAAGGCUUGAGUGUGGCAGAGGAGACUGGAAUUCCUGGUGUAGCAGUGAAAUGCGUAGAUAUCAGGAGGAACACCGAUGGCGAAGGCAGGUCUCUGGGCUAACACUGACGCUCAUGCACGAAAGCGUGGGGAGCAAACAGG
This 253-nucleotide ribosomal RNA is filed under the name uncultured bacterium. RNAcentral describes it as "partial 16S ribosomal RNA". It matches the Rfam family "Bacterial small subunit ribosomal RNA", at positions 524 to 776 of the family's 1533-position model. The record is from RNAcentral.